UACGUAGGGGGCUAGCGUUGUCCGGAUUUAUUGGGCGUAAAGAGCGUGUAGGUGGCCAGGUAGGUCUGCUGUGAAAACUCGAGGCUCAACCUCGAGAUGUCGGCGGAAACCAUCUGGCUAGAGUCCGGAAGAGGAAAGUGGAAUUCCUGGUGUAGCGGUGAAAUGCGCAGAUAUCAGGAAGAACACCCGUGGCGAAGGCGGUUCUCUGGGACGGUACUGACGCUGAGACGCGAAAGCGUGGGGAGCGAACAGG
RNAcentral lists this ribosomal RNA (253 nucleotides) under uncultured bacterium. RNAcentral's name for it is "partial 16S ribosomal RNA". It matches the Rfam family "Bacterial small subunit ribosomal RNA", at positions 524 to 776 of the family's 1533-position model. The record is from RNAcentral.